UCUGGCUUAUAGCCAAGCGGUCCCCUUAGAGUGCCCAACUUAAUGCUGGUAACUAAGGGCGAGGGUUGCGCUCGUUGCGGGACUUAACCCAACAUCUCACAACACGAGCUGACGACAGCCAUGCAGCACCUGUCACCGCGUCCCCGAAGGGAACCCCUAGUUUCCUAGGGUAGCGCGGGAUGUCAAGUCUAGGUAAGGUUUUUCGCGUAGCAUCGAAUUAAACCACAUGUUCCACCGCUUGUGCGGGCCCCCGUCAAUUCCUUUGAGUUUUAAUCUUGCGACCGUACUUCCCAGGCGGGAUACUUAAUGCGUUAGCUACGACACCGAGGAGAUUAGGCUCCCCAACGUCUAGUAUCCAUCGUUUAGGGCGUGGACUAC
RNAcentral lists this unclassified non-coding RNA (378 nucleotides) under uncultured delta proteobacterium. RNAcentral describes it as "contains 16S-23S intergenic spacer region". The record is from RNAcentral. Lineage: Bacteria; Deltaproteobacteria.